UCCUCGGUAGUAUAGUGGUGAGUAUCCCCGCCUGUCACGCGGGAGACCAGGGUUCCAUUCCCCGCCGGGGAG
This is a non-coding RNA of Daphnia pulex (common water flea), 72 nucleotides long. Lineage: Eukaryota; Metazoa; Arthropoda; Branchiopoda; Diplostraca; Daphniidae. The record is from Rfam.